RNAcentral lists this ribosomal RNA (492 nucleotides) under uncultured bacterium. RNAcentral describes it as "partial 16S ribosomal RNA". It matches the Rfam family "Bacterial small subunit ribosomal RNA", at positions 29 to 507 of the family's 1533-position model. The record is from RNAcentral.
UGUGAACGCUGGCGGUAGGCCUAACACAUGCAAGUCGAACGGCAGCACAGUAAGAGCUUGCUCUUACGGGUGGCGAGUGGCGGACGGGUGAGGAAUACAUCGGAAUCUACUUUUUCGUGGGGGAUAACGUAGGGAAACUUACGCUAAUACCGCAUACGACCUACGGGUGAAAGCAGGGGAUCUUCGGACCUUGCGCGAUUGAAUGAGCCGAUGUCGGAUUAGCUAGUUGGCGGGGUAAAGGCCCACCAAGGCGACGAUCCGUAGCUGGUCUGAGAGGAUGAUCAGCCACACUGGAACUGAGACACGGUCCAGACUCCGACGGGAAGCAGCAGUGGGGAAUAUUGGACAAUGGGCGCGAGCCUGAUCCAGCCAUACCGCGUGAGUGAAGAAGGCCUUCUGGUUGUAAAGCCCUUUUGUUGGGAAAGAAAAGCAGCAGGUUAAUACCCCGCUGUUCUGACGGUACCCAAAGAAUAAGCACCGGCUAACUUCGUG